AGCGAACGCUGGCGGCAGGCCUAACACAUGCAAGUCGAACGAACUCUUCGGAGUUAGUGGCGGACGGGUGAGUAACACGUGGGAACGUGCCUAUAGGUUCGGCAUAACUCAGGGAAACUUGUGCUAAUACCGAAUGUGCCCUACGGGGGAAAGAUUUAUCGCCCUUAGAGCGGCCAUCGUCUGAUUAGCUAGUUGUGGCGGUAAUGGGUCACCAAGGCGACGAUCAGUAGCUGGUCUGAGAGGAUGAUCAGCCACAUUGGGACUGAGACACGGCCCAAACUCCUACGGGAGGCAGCAGUGGGGAAUCGUGCGCAAUGGGCGAAAGCCUGACGCAGCCAUGCCGCGUGAAUGAUGAAGGUCUUAGGAUUGUAAAAUUCUUUCACCGGGGACGAUAAUGACGGUACCCGGAGAAGAAGCCCCGGCUAACUUCGUG
RNAcentral lists this ribosomal RNA (433 nucleotides) under uncultured bacterium. Its description in RNAcentral is "partial 16S ribosomal RNA". It matches the Rfam family "Bacterial small subunit ribosomal RNA", at positions 29 to 507 of the family's 1533-position model. The record is from RNAcentral.